CUUGGAUUUGAGACCCAUGUUACACUUUCCGACGAAACCCAGGCUUUCCUUCCUCAGUCAAUACUUUCUUACGAUUCCUUUCCAUAGCCAUUGAGUUCCAUUCUCUCCAAAUCUCUGUUACUUUGCAGUAACUAUCCACUCUAAAAUCAUUGAUUCUGCUCUUUACACCUUCUUACAAGAUGUAUCCUUUCACCUCCUAUUGUUUUCCUCAUGUAUGAUCUAUUUCUGGAUUCUUAUAUAUACCGUAAUCUAUGUAUGACUUCUUCAGUCGAAGAUCAAGCUAUGUCCAUGAGAUCUGCUAAGUCCUUCGGAAAGUCUUAUGUCGCUGUGUAUUUCCCCAACAUCUCCCCGGGUACAGCGGAAUCAGAACUAGGCUUCCGGUUGAUCCUUUUCUGGGAGACGAUAAGCACAGAUAGUUAAAGGUGGUUUGCUUAUUGGCUUGGAGCUUCUCCUUACAGGCAAGCAGAAAUGGCUACGCACAACUCGAAAUCUACCACAUCAAUACCACAACGAGUUUACUUCGAUAACAUCUUCCCCUGUUUGCGAGCCCUUUUGGUUAACAAAUCCACCGGAUUGGUUUCGCAGCUGCGGUUUGGACAUAGCUGCAACAAUUAUCUUCUUUUAAAAAAAAACAGCUGUGAUCAAGUCCAGGCAUCCAUUCCAGAUGAUUAUUAACAAAAAAAAAUUGUUUGAGCUGGAAUCUGAACUUCGUGUCAUGGAAAGCCUCUGGCAGCUGAAACUGGGAUAAUUCUGUAUUCUUUUAUCUUUAACUUGGAUGGGGGCAACCACAGGUAUUAUUUUGUUGUUCAAAGAGUUGAAUCCAAACAGCCUUUGGGAGAAGAAGCAAAAAUUUACCUGAGAAAAGUUAUACAACAGCUUUCUGUGUAGGUUUUUUUCUUAUAUGUUGGCAUAAAUACGUAGGUGAAACUCUGAACACCUGAAGAGGGCGAUUUAUGUAAGCGAUGCAACUGCAAAAAGUCGCAUUUGAAUCUUUACUGUGAAGGUUUGUUGCAUAGAUCCAUUUUCAUGUGUGGAUUGUUUCAACAAACCAUCAAUGCUCUCGCUGUUACUGUGAAGGUUUGUUGCAUAUAUCCAUUUACGCUGUCUUGGCUACCCGCAGACAGAUUGAGAAUUCACUUCCAAACUCAAACGAACAGCAAUGCUCUCUAUUCAGAGAUCAUGUGGAGAGAUCCCCAAGCUUUUUACACAGAUUUCUAUCAUGGCCGCUGGAACUGGAAGCACUGCUCUUUUCACUGUGAUCUGCAGCUUUGCUUCAAGGCGUGUACCCUUUUGCGCAAACAAGUUCUUCAACACUGGACUUGGUUUCAGUUUGGUCAUACUGCUUUGGUCUGUGGAUAGACACGGGAGGUGAUUACUUAGCGCAUACUUCUUCCAUGGGUUGUAGCUUCUAAGUUGGCAACAAGAACAAGAGUAAUCUCUGAGGAAGCAAAAGCCACGACCAAAUUCUUUAUAUUCUUAAUAGGAAACAUCUUUGCUCCUAUGUAAACUAAAUAUGUUUCUCCAAAGACCUGAAGAAUAUAUAAAUUGGUUUUUGUUUGUGUGAUCAGGAACAAACAAUUUUUUUGAAUAUAAAGCAUGUUACCGAAGAAAGAAAAAAAA
Long non-coding RNA from Brassica oleracea var. oleracea, 1620 nucleotides. RefSeq lists it as uncharacterized. The transcript has 5 exons. NCBI's taxonomy places the organism in Eukaryota, Viridiplantae, Streptophyta, Magnoliopsida, Brassicales, Brassicaceae. The record is from RefSeq and is a predicted model, not a curated record.